RNAcentral lists this ribosomal RNA (223 nucleotides) under uncultured bacterium. Its description in RNAcentral is "partial 16S ribosomal RNA". It matches the Rfam family "Bacterial small subunit ribosomal RNA", at positions 524 to 745 of the family's 1533-position model. The record is from RNAcentral.
UACAGAGGGUGCGAGCGUUGUCCGGAAUCACUGGGCGUAAAGGGCGCGUAGGUGGCCCCUCAAGCGUGCGGUGAAAGUCAGGGGCUCAACCCCUGAUCGGCCGUGCGAACUGGGGAGCUUGAGCACUGUAGAGGCAGGCGGAAUUCCGGGUGUAGCGGUGGGAAUGCGUAGAGAAUCCGGAAGAACACCGGUGGCGAAGGCGGCCGUGCUGGGCAAGCUUUUG